UGCCGAAUGAGUAUAACAUGUACAUCGAUUUUUCGCGUCGAGGGUCUUUCUAAAAAUGGAGGAUUCGGUAU
Molecule: transfer RNA, 71 nt
Filed under: Tegillarca granosa
Lineage: Eukaryota; Metazoa; Mollusca; Bivalvia; Arcoida; Arcidae
Description: tRNA-Glu
Source: RNAcentral